RNAcentral lists this ribosomal RNA (109 nucleotides) under Notechis scutatus (mainland tiger snake). Lineage: Eukaryota; Metazoa; Chordata; Lepidosauria; Squamata; Elapidae. The record is from RNAcentral.
ACCAGCUGGCAGUUCUUAGCUAAUCCUGGCUGAUUUUGGAAACUGAAUAUGUUUGGUUAUAGUUAGUGCUUAGAUGGGCAACCGCUUGGGAAUUUCAAUGCUGUUGGUU